AAGAAAGUCGUAGAGGUUACGAAGUUGGCUUGAAACCGAUUUUUGGGGGUUCGAUUCCUUCCUUUCUUG
This is a non-coding RNA of Tupaia belangeri (northern tree shrew), 69 nucleotides long. NCBI's taxonomy places the organism in Eukaryota, Metazoa, Chordata, Mammalia, Scandentia, Tupaiidae. The record is from Ensembl.